CCUUUGAUGGUACAGUUAGUAGUACUUUAUGGAUAUUAAUGGAUUAUCAAGUAUGUUGUAGGUUCGAAUCCUGGUCAGAGGG
Halocaridina rubra (Hawaiian volcano shrimp) is the source of this 82-nucleotide non-coding RNA. Lineage: Eukaryota; Metazoa; Arthropoda; Malacostraca; Decapoda; Atyidae. The record is from the annotation of a GenBank genome assembly.